RNAcentral lists this ribosomal RNA (997 nucleotides) under Micromonospora sp. 1056G3. RNAcentral describes it as "bacterial SSU rRNA". It matches the Rfam family "Bacterial small subunit ribosomal RNA", at positions 56 to 1073 of the family's 1533-position model. Lineage: Bacteria; Bacillati; Actinomycetota; Actinomycetes; Micromonosporales; Micromonosporaceae. The record is from RNAcentral.
UGCAGUCGAGCGGAAAGGCCCUUCGGGGUACUCGAGCGGCGAACGGGUGAGUAACACGUGAGCAACCUGCCCUAGGCUUUGGGAUAACCCUCGGAAACGGGGGCUAAUACCGAAUAUUACUUGACCUCGCAUGGGGUUGGGUGGAAAGUUUUUCGGCCUGGGAUGGGCUCGCGGCCUAUCAGCUUGUUGGUGGGGUGAUGGCCUACCAAGGCGACGACGGGUAGCCGGCCUGAGAGGGCGACCGGCCACACUGGGACUGAGACACGGCCCAGACUCCUACGGGAGGCAGCAGUGGGGAAUAUUGCACAAUGGGCGGAAGCCUGAUGCAGCGACGCCGCGUGAGGGAUGACGGCCUUCGGGUUGUAAACCUCUUUCAGCAGGGACGAAGCGUAAGUGACGGUACCUGCAGAAGAAGCACCGGCCAACUACGUGCCAGCAGCCGCGGUAAGACGUAGGGUGCGAGCGUUGUCCGGAUUUAUUGGGCGUAAAGAGCUCGUAGGCGGCUUGUCGCGUCGACCGUGAAAACUUGGGGCUCAACCCCAAGCCUGCGGUCGAUACGGGCAGGCUAGAGUUCGGUAGGGGAGACUGGAAUUCCUGGUGUAGCGGUGAAAUGCGCAGAUAUCAGGAGGAACACCGGUGGCGAAGGCGGGUCUCUGGGCCGAUACUGACGCUGAGGAGCGAAAGCGUGGGGAGCGAACAGGAUUAGAUACCCUGGUAGUCCACGCUGUAAACGUUGGGCGCUAGGUGUGGGGGGCCUCUCCGGUUUCCUGUGCCGCAGCUAACGCAUUAAGCGCCCCGCCUGGGGAGUACGGCCGCAAGGCUAAUACUCAAAGGAAUUGACGGGGGCCCGCACAAGCGGCGGAGCAUGCGGAUUAAUUCGAUGCAACGCGAAGAACCUUACCUGGGUUUGACAUGGCCGCAAAACUUGCAGAGAUGUAAGGUCCUUCGGGGGCGGUCACAGGUGGUGCAUGGCUGUCGCCAGCUCGUGUCCUGAGAU